AUUGAACGCUGGCGGAAUGCUUUACACAUGCAAGUCGAACGGCAGCACGGACUUCGGUCUGGUGGCGAGUGGCGAACGGGUGAGUAAUGUAUCGGAACGUGCCCAGUCGUGGGGGAUAACGAAGUGAAAAUUACGCUAAUACCGCAUACGAACUAUGGAUGAAAGCGGGGGAUCUCAAGACCCCGCGCGAUUGGAGCGGCCGAAAUCAGAUUAGGUAGUUGGUGGGGUAACGGCCCACCAAGCAAACGAACUGUAGCGGGUCUGAGAGGACGACCAGCCACCCUGGAACUGAGACCCGGUCCAGACUCCUACGGGAGGCGGCAGUGGGGAAUUUUGGACAAUGGGCGAAAGCCUGAUCCAGCCAUUCCGCGUGCAGGAUGAAGGCCCUCGGGUUGUAAACUGCUUUUGUACAGAACGAAAAGGUUUCUACUAAUACUAGGAGCUCAUGACGGUACUGUAAGAAUAAGCACCGGCUAACUACGUGCCAGCAGCCGCAGUAA
Molecule: ribosomal RNA, 500 nt
Filed under: uncultured bacterium
Lineage: Bacteria
Description: partial 16S ribosomal RNA
Rfam family: Bacterial small subunit ribosomal RNA
Source: RNAcentral